This 365-nucleotide ribosomal RNA is filed under the name uncultured bacterium. RNAcentral describes it as "bacterial SSU rRNA". It matches the Rfam family "Bacterial small subunit ribosomal RNA", at positions 790 to 1167 of the family's 1533-position model. The record is from RNAcentral.
GUAGUCCACGCCCUAAACGAUGAGUACUAAGUGUUGCCAGAAGGCAGUGCUGAAGUUAACGCAUUAAGUACUCCGCCUGAGUAGUACGUACGCAAGUAUGAAACUUAAAGGAAUUGACGGGAGCCCGCACAAGCGGUGGAGCAUGUUGUUUAAUUCGACGAUACGCGAAGAACCUUACCAGGUCUUGACAUCCUCUGCAAAGCUAUAGAGAUAUAGUGGAGGUUAACAGAGAGACAGGUGGUGCAUGGUUGUCGUCAGCUCGUGUCGUGAGAUGUUGGGUUAAGUCCCGCAACGAGCGCAACCCUUAUUACUAGUUACCAUCAUUAAGUUGGGGACUCUAGUGAGACUGCCAGUGAUAAACUGGA